Molecule: ribosomal RNA, 871 nt
Filed under: Cytospora diopuiensis
Lineage: Eukaryota; Fungi; Ascomycota; Sordariomycetes; Diaporthales; Cytosporaceae
Description: partial large subunit ribosomal RNA
Rfam family: Eukaryotic large subunit ribosomal RNA
Source: RNAcentral
AUUGCCCUAGUAACGGCGAGUGAAGCGGCAACAGCUCAAAUUUGAAAGCUGGCUCCGGCCCGCAUUGUAAUUUGCAGAGGAUGCUUUUGGUGAGGUGCCUUCCGAGUUCCCUGGAACGGGACGCCACAGAGGGUGAGAGCCCCGUAUGGAUGGACACCAAACCUGUGUAAAGCUCCUUCAACGAGUCGAGUAGUUUGGGAAUGCUGCUCAAAAUGGGAGGUAAAUCUCUUCUAAAGCUAAAUACCGGCCAGAGACCGAUAGCGCACAAGUAGAGUGAUCGAAAGAUGAAAAGCACCUUGAAAAGGGGGUUAAACAGUACGUGAAAUUGUUGAAAGGGAAGCAUUUAUGACCAGACUUGCGCCGGGCAGCUCAUCAGGGGUUCUCCCCUGUGCACUCUGCCCGGCUCAGGCCAGCAUCGGUUCUCGUGGGAGGAUAAGAACGGUAGGAAUGUGGCCCCCUCUCGGGGGGGUGUUAUAGCCUGCCGUACGAUACUCCCGUGGGGACCGAGGUUCGCGCUCCGCAAGGAUGCUGGCGUAAUGGUCAUCAAUGACCCGUCUUGAAACACGGACCAAGGAGUCGUCCAUUAGAGCGAGCGUUUGGGUGUAAAACCCGCACGCGUAAUGAAAGUGAACGCAGGUGAGAGCUUCGGCGCAUCAUCGACCGAUCCUGAUGUUCUCGGAUGGAUUUGAGUAAGAGUUUUAACGGACGGACCCGAAAGACAGUGAACUAUGCUUGUAUAGGGUGAAGCCAGAGGAAACUCUGGUGGAGGCUCGCAGCGGUUCUGACGUGCAAAUCGAUCGUCAAAUAUGAGCAUGGGGGCGAAAGACUAAUCGAACUGUCUAGUAGCUGGUUACCGCCGAAGUUUCCCCUC